UGGGGAAUAUUGCACAAUGGGCGCAAGCCUGAUGCAGCAACGCCGCGUGAACGAUGAAGGUCUUCGGAUCGUAAAGUUCUGUUGCAGGGGAAGAUAAUGACGGUACCCUGUGAGGAAGCCCCGGCUAACUACGUGCCAGCAGCCGCGGUAAUACGUAGGGGGCUAGCGUUAUCCGGAUUUACUGGGCGUAAAGGGUGCGUAAGUGGUCCUUCAAGUCGGUGGUUAAAGGCUACGGCACAACCGUAGUAAGCCGCCGAAACUGGAGGACUUGAGUACAGGAGAGGAAAGAGGAAUUCCCGGUGUAGUAGUAAAAUAAGUAGAUAUUAGGAGGAACACCAGUAGCGAAGGCGGCUUUCUGGACUGCAACUGACAAUGAGGCACGAAAGCGUGGGUAGCAAACAGG
This 403-nucleotide ribosomal RNA is filed under the name Verrucomicrobiota bacterium. RNAcentral describes it as "Verrucomicrobia bacterium partial 16S ribosomal RNA". It matches the Rfam family "Bacterial small subunit ribosomal RNA", at positions 355 to 776 of the family's 1533-position model. The record is from RNAcentral. Lineage: Bacteria; Pseudomonadati; Verrucomicrobiota.